GAUGAACGCUAGCGGCAGGCUUAAUACAUGCAAGUCAAGGGGGUAGCAAUACAACCGGCGCACGGGUGAGUAACGCGUACACAACAUACCAUAUACUGGAGUAUAGCUUUGGGAAACUGAAGGUAAUCCUCCAUAACAUUGCGAGAGGGCAUCUGAUUGCAAUUAAAGUUUCGGCGGUGUAUGAUUGGUGUGCGUUUGAUUAGCUAGUUGGUAGGGUAACGGCCUACCAAGGCGACGAUCAAUAGCUGGCGUGAGAGCGCGACCAGCCACACUGGAACUGAGACACGGUCCAGACUCCUACGGGAGGCAGCAGUAGGGAAUAUUGGACAAUGGAGGAAACUCUGAUCCAGCCAUGCCGCGUGAUAGAUGAAGGCCCUCUGGGUUGUAAAUAUCUUUUAUCUGGGAAGAAACACUCCUAUUCUUAGGAACUUGACGGUACCAGAGGAAUAAGCACCGGCUAACUCCGUGCCAGCAGCCGCGGAAAGU
Molecule: ribosomal RNA, 486 nt
Filed under: uncultured bacterium
Lineage: Bacteria
Description: bacterial SSU rRNA
Rfam family: Bacterial small subunit ribosomal RNA
Source: RNAcentral